GAUGAACGCUGGCGGCGUGCCUAAUACAUGCAAGUAGAACGCUGAAGGAAGGAGCUUGCUCUUUCCGGAUGAGUUGCGAACGGGUGAGUAACGCGUAGGUAACCUGCCUGGUAGCGGGGGAUAACUAUUGGAAACGAUAGCUAAUACCGCAUAACAGUAGAUGUUGCAUGAUAUCUACUUAAAAGGUGCAAUUGCACCACUACCAGAUGGACCUGCGUUGUAUUAGCUAGUUGGUGAGGUAACGGCUCACCAAGGCGACGAUACAUAGCCGAACUGAGAGGGUGAUCGGCCACACUGGGACUGAGACACGGCCCAGAAUCCUACGGGAGGCAGCAGUAGGGAAUCUUCGGCAAUGGACGGAAGUCUGACCGAGCAACGCCGCGUGAGUGAAGAAGGUUUUCGGAUCGGAAAGCUCUGUUGUAAGAGAAGAAAGAGUGUGAGAGUGGAAAGUUCACACUGUGACGGUAUCUUACCAGAAAGGGACGGCUAACUACGUG
Molecule: ribosomal RNA, 497 nt
Filed under: uncultured bacterium
Lineage: Bacteria
Description: partial 16S ribosomal RNA
Rfam family: Bacterial small subunit ribosomal RNA
Source: RNAcentral